Non-coding RNA from Salvelinus sp. IW2-2015, 227 nucleotides. NCBI's taxonomy places the organism in Eukaryota, Metazoa, Chordata, Actinopteri, Salmoniformes, Salmonidae. The record is from RefSeq and is a predicted model, not a curated record.
AGAUCACCAAGGAAAUCAAGCUCGUUUGGUACGGACUGAAUCGGUACCAUGUGACAUCAACAACCCGCUCAGGUACACAGACCUGCACAUCAGUCAGACGCUGCCCAAAACCAACAAAAUCAACAAGGAUCACAUCCCUGUCCCGUACCAGCCAGACUCCAGCAGUAACCCCUCCUCCACCACCUCCUCCACCCCUUCCUCACCCGCUCCACCCCUCCCUUCCAGUG